UUAAAGUCUUUAAAAGGUGUGCACGUUUACUAAAAUGGUCAUAAGUUAAAAAUUAUUUAAAUUCUGUGGUAGUGCGACGAAUGUAUUGAGCGAAAAGUGUAAGUGCCUUUUUACAUUCUCUGUGUGACUUUGUAUAUUUUUCUACAAAGCAUUUCUCGCAUGAAUUCAGUCGUUUUACAUAUAUUUUUGCCUUUGAACGUGCUCAUUUACAUAUGUUAAAUAGCAGCGAGAAUGGUGAAUUACUUUUGUGUGUUUUUGAGUAUUUUUAUAUCUUGUGCUAAAUACUAAAUUUUAUAAGAUGCCGAACUGUGUUGUCAAUAUCGACGCAAAAACAAUUUAAAUUAAAUUAAAAUGAAUAAAAAUCCAGGAAAAAGUUCAACAGAACGUAGUCGCGAGUUUCGUGCACGUAAAAAACAAUUAUUGAACAAUCAAAAUAGAUGUUCAAAUAUACAUACAUAAGUGUUAAUGUGACUGAUGUAAUAAAUGACCACUCUCAUCAAAAUAGUGUCCCAACGGGAUAUAAUUCAGUAAAUAAUUAUUUCGAUGUAAACAAUAUGGUAAAACUCUUACCCCGUAAUCAGUGCUGCCAACUUUUGACCAGGAAAAAAAAGCUGUUUUUGACGGGAAGAAUGGAGA
Long non-coding RNA from Bactrocera neohumeralis, 636 nucleotides. RefSeq lists it as uncharacterized. NCBI's taxonomy places the organism in Eukaryota, Metazoa, Arthropoda, Insecta, Diptera, Tephritidae. The transcript has 3 exons. The record is from RefSeq and is a predicted model, not a curated record.